CCUACGGGAGGCAGCAGUGGGGAAUAUUGCACAAUGGGGGAAACCCUGAUGCAGCGACGCCGCGUGAGUGAAGAAGUAUUUCGGUACGUAAAGCUCUAUCAGCAGGGAAGAAAAUGACAGUACCUGACUAAGAAGCCCCGGCUAACUACGUGCCAGCAGCCGCGGUAAUACGGAGGGGGCAAGCGUUAUCAGGAUUUACUGGGUGUAAAGGGAGCGUAGACGGCAGCGCAAGUCUGGAGUGAAAUCCCAUGGCUUAACCAUGGAACUGCUUUGGAAACUGUGCAGCUAGAGUGCAGGAGAGGUAAGCGGAAUUCCUAGUGUAGCGGUGAAAUGCGUAGAUAUUAGGAGGAACACCAGUGGCGAAGGCGGCUUACUGGACUGUAACUGACGUUGAGGCUCGAAAGCGUGGGGAGCAAACAGGAUUAGAUACCCGGGUAGUC
Molecule: ribosomal RNA, 440 nt
Filed under: uncultured bacterium
Lineage: Bacteria
Description: partial 16S ribosomal RNA
Rfam family: Bacterial small subunit ribosomal RNA
Source: RNAcentral